UAGUCUACGCCGUAAACGAUGGAUACUAGCUGUUGGACUUCGGUUCAGUGGCUAAGCGAAAGUGAUAAGUAUCCCACCUGGGGAGUACGUUCGCAAGAAUGAAACUCAAAGGAAUUGACGGGGGCCCGCACAAGCGGUGGAGCAUGUGGUUUAAUUCGAUGAUACGCGAGGAACCUUACCAGGGCUUAAAUGUAGAUUGACAGGUUUAGAGAUAGACUUUUCUUCGGACAAUUUACAAGGUGCUGCAUGGUUGUCGUCAGCUCGUGCCGUGAGGUGUCAGGUUAAGUCCUAUAACGAGCGCAACCCCUCCGUUAGUUGCCAGCAUGUAAAGAUGGGGACUCUAACGGGACUGCCGGUGCAAACCGUGAGGAAGGUGGGGAUGACGUCAAAUCAUCACGGCCCUUACGUCCUGGGGCCACACACGUGCUACAAUGGCCGGUACAGAGAGCAGCCAUCCGGGUAACGGGAGCGCGAA
Molecule: ribosomal RNA, 475 nt
Filed under: uncultured bacterium
Lineage: Bacteria
Description: bacterial SSU rRNA
Rfam family: Bacterial small subunit ribosomal RNA
Source: RNAcentral